Monodelphis domestica (gray short-tailed opossum) is the source of this 102-nucleotide small nuclear RNA. NCBI's taxonomy places the organism in Eukaryota, Metazoa, Chordata, Mammalia, Didelphimorphia, Didelphidae. The record is from Ensembl.
CUGACUGCCAUGGCACAUAUAUUAAAGUGAAAACAAUUCAGAAGUUCAACAUGACCCCUGAGCAAGGAUGUCAUACAAAUUCAUGGAGCACACUAUCUAUUA